RNAcentral lists this long non-coding RNA (2809 nucleotides) under Phascolarctos cinereus (koala). RNAcentral's name for it is "lncRNA (ENSPCIG00000018399.2)". The record is from RNAcentral. Lineage: Eukaryota; Metazoa; Chordata; Mammalia; Diprotodontia; Phascolarctidae.
CUUUAAUGAGUGUCUACAGCAUGUCCAGACCUUCUGGGAAGAAAUGCAAAACAAUUCAUGAUUAAUGUAAAUUUACAUUGUGAAAGUCUCUCUUUACUAAAGAAUUCUGGAAGAAAAGAAUAGUGAUGGGGAAGGAGAAAUAAAGGAAUUUGGGGUUUCUAACCCUGUCCCUAAUCCUCCAACCCUAACCUUAACUACUGCACCCGACUCUAACCCUCUAACAUAGCCAACUCUGCUUCAAAUCUAACUAUAAUGGGGCAGGUAGGUGGUGUAGGGGAUAGAGCACCGGCCCUGGAUUCUGAAGGACCUGAGCUCAAAUCCAGCCUCAGACACAUAACACUCACUAACUGUGUGACCCUGGGCAAGUCACCCAUUGCCUAACCAAAAAAAAAAAAUCUAUAACCCUAAAUUCAUGUCUCCAACUCUGACUCUAACCCUAAAUGCCUGACUCUAAGCCUAACCUUGAGUGCUUCUGGCUCUAAAACCCUAAAUGUGCAACUCUGACUCUCUUCAACUCCCAAUCUAUCCCUGACCGUACCCCUAACUCUGCCUUUAACUCUGACCCUAACCCUAACCCUUGAACUGUCACCCUAAUUUUGUGACUCAGACUCUUAACCCUAAUUUCAUACCCCCAACUCCAAUCCAAACACCAAAUUCACAUUACAUAAAAAUUGCUUUAUCUAGACUCUGCAGAAUGGUCCACUUAGUAAAGUUAAAUCUGUGUAUGUAGACCACUAUUAUAUAUAGAAUAUACAUAAAUAGAAUAAGUACAAAUAAAUGGGGAAAUAAAUUCAAAGGAAUGGCAGUGGGGAGACAAAUGGAGGAAAAACUUUGGGCAUUUACACUUUCUUCCCGUUCCCAUGAUCAGGGGCUGAGAAGACCACGUGAGGUAAGGGAAGAGCGGAGGGGGCGGGGCUCCAAGUCAGGAAGGGCAGGGAGGGCGGGGCAGGCAGGGAGGCCGGACCGCAUUCCAGGCCCAGAAGACACGGAAGACACCGAAGCCUCCAGACUACGAUUCCCAGAAGGCCUUGCUCUUCCCCCCCGGAAGCAUUUUCCAAAGCGAGGACGAAACUCCCCUCGGAUGUCAUUUUCACCCCGCCCUGUCUUCGCCUUUUCCUUACUUUGUGGUGGUAAUUUUCUUCCAUUCUGUCCUGAGCCGACCUGCGGCCGGCUCUCCCUUCUGUGGCCUCUGCUCUGCCCCAGGAGGACAGCCUGGAGGAAGAGGGAAUGGCUCCUGCCCCGAAAGCCAGGCCCGGGAAGGUGAGUGCCACUUGCUGCUUUCCUCAAAUAGCAUCUUAGGCCAGAGACCGUGGGAUAGGUGUCUUUGUCCUGUGCUGUAACACUAGGAAUCGUGGGCAUCAGAGAAUCAUAUAUUUAGAGCUAAAAGAUACCAUAGAUUAUAAUCUAUCCAAAACCACCUACCCUAAAAUUUAUAUUCAUUUUUAAAUUUUGGAAUACCGAUUCUAUCCAUUCCUCCAGCUCUUUCCCCACCCAUUGACAAGGAAAGCAACAGGAUACCCAUUAUGUAUGUGAAGACAGGCAAAACAUUUCUAUACUAGCCACGUUGCAAAAAGAAUUAAAAAGGCGUCCGAAUUUUUAAAAUUUUUAAGAAGUUUAAAAAAAUCCUUUAUCUGCCUUUAGAGUUCAUCAGCUCUUCAUUGUUCAUCUUGAAUCCUUUGGAAUUUUCAUGCAUCAUUGUGUUGUACAAAGUAGGCAAGUCUUUCACGGUUGAUCAUUGUUACAAUAUUGGCAUUACUGGCCACAGAGUUCUGAUUCUGCUCAUUUCACUUUGCCUCAGUUUAUCAAAAUAUUCUCAAGUGUUUCUGAACCUACCUCUCACAGUUGUCAUUUCUUGAUAUACAAUAGUAUUCCCUCACAAUCAUAUCCAACACCUUGUUCAGCCAUUCCCCAACUGAUGGGCAUCUGUGGUGGGUGAAAAAUGAAAUGACGAGGAAAUAAUGGUUUGACCUUCUGAGCAUACUGAUUCAUUAAGCAGUACAUGUCAGUUUUUUUAAGAAACCAGGACCAGACCUCCUCACUUUAGGCCUGGACCCCAAAUGCAGGGAGAGAUAGACUUUUAAAAACAAUUAAUCAAAUAACUGACAAAUAAGGUCAGUUAAUUAAAGGGAAAAUUACACCAUGAGGUAAUCUGAUUUCUAAUUGGUUGAAAGAUUAGGAACUUUCCAAGUUGGGAAGGGGAGAUGAACAGGUGCCAUGGCCUGAAAUCAGAAAAAGAGAUGCCCCAUUUCCCCCAGGUGUUUGUAAACAAUUAAAGGAACAUGGAAACAAUAACUGAUUGAUCAGUAGGGGGCCAGUUUUCAAAUAAGACAUGAAUUGCUUGAGAAGUAAAACUGAGAAUCUCUUUGGAUCGGACUGGGAUUCUGAUCAGCAUCAUGUCAGCCUCUUAAGGCUCUAAAUAGCAGGGAGAGGGUGUCCAGAUUCCCAGCCAGGAAGAGCUUGGGUCAAACAAGGAGAUAAGAUUUUGAAUUGCCACUGAUGAAUGAAGUUUUCUCACAAGACAGCAAUUGGAAUAGAGAAACCAAAAACUGGAUGAAAAUUAAGCUAGCUCCAGAAUUCAGACACCGGAUGAAGUCAGUGUGGUACACUCAAUUCCCACAAUUAACCAUUUGCUGUCCUAAUCCCCUGAAUUCCCUCAAAUUUCACUCACUAUUUCAGAAAGGGGUCAGUUCCUGGAAUUACCCAAAGUCCUAGGAGUUCUCCCCUGCAGUCUUAAAAUGAUUCCCUCACUUCUGCUCAAUUUCUAAUUCUUUGCCACCACAAAUAAAGCUGCUCUAAAUGUUUUUGUGCA